This 102-nucleotide small nucleolar RNA is filed under the name Cephalotus follicularis. RNAcentral's name for it is "Plant small nucleolar RNA R71". It matches the Rfam family "Plant small nucleolar RNA R71". From Rfam's summary of the family: R71 is a member of the C/D box family of snoRNAs containing the C (UGAUGA) and D (CUGA) box motifs. Lineage: Eukaryota; Viridiplantae; Streptophyta; Magnoliopsida; Oxalidales; Cephalotaceae. The record is from Rfam by way of RNAcentral.
AAGGCAUGAUUGGGGUAUUUUCUGAUGAGGUCCUUUAAUCUUUCCCAUGACUCAUGGAACUACUCACCAUCUUGCUGCAAGAAGCUAGUGAGAGCUCGCCUU